This 28-nucleotide small RNA is filed under the name Arabidopsis thaliana (thale cress). RNAcentral describes it as "ATSL150050". Lineage: Eukaryota; Viridiplantae; Streptophyta; Magnoliopsida; Brassicales; Brassicaceae. The record is from RNAcentral.
AACGGAGAAGAAAACGGCGACGAACGCU